UACGUAGGUGGCAAGCGUUAUCCGGAUUUAUUGGGCGUAAAGGGAACGCAGGCGGUCUUUUAAGUCUGAUGUGAAAGCCUUCGGCUUAACCGGAGUAGUGCAUUGGAAACUGGGAGACUUGAGUGCAGAAGAGGAGAGUGGAACUCUAUGUGUAGCGGUGAAAUGCGUAGAUAUAUGGAAGAACACCAGUGGCGAAAGCGGCUCUCUGGUCUGUAACUGACGCUGAGGUUCGAAAGCGUGGGCAGCAAACAGG
This 253-nucleotide ribosomal RNA is filed under the name uncultured bacterium. Its description in RNAcentral is "partial 16S ribosomal RNA". It matches the Rfam family "Bacterial small subunit ribosomal RNA", at positions 524 to 776 of the family's 1533-position model. The record is from RNAcentral.